AAAAUGAAAAAACAACACACAAUUAAAAAUGUCUACAUAAAACUGCUGUAAGGGGAAAAUUUUCUGUGCCGCAGAUUUCACUUCGGAUGAGCCUUUCUGUGCUCCAGCCAGCUCCACUCGACCCAGUCCAGUUUGUCGUUCGCGUCUUCCUGCAUUGCAAGUAUCUCCCUAUUACGCCUCAGUGACAGGAAGCUCAACGUCCAGAAGUACAUAUCAGUUUUCUUGUGCAGUCGGCCAGUCGACAACAUCUCGUUCAUGAGCAUCUGCGCGUCUGGAACAUUAGGACCCAGCAAAUUGUUGAUUGUAGCUGCUACCUUUUCACUGGCAGUGGAAGCACGGUUAACAGCGUCCUAUACAUCCGAGGCGGACAUUUUUGCUCUCUUACCUUUUUUGCUAUUGCCGCCAGACCUACGUUUAUCCCCACUUUGCGGC
RNAcentral lists this long non-coding RNA (432 nucleotides) under Olea europaea (common olive). Its description in RNAcentral is "long non-coding RNA (OEUR_LNC015364)". The record is from RNAcentral. Lineage: Eukaryota; Viridiplantae; Streptophyta; Magnoliopsida; Lamiales; Oleaceae.